AAAAUAUUUUGGCUAUAAAUAAACUUCCCUUUGCCAUGUAGUCAUGGUGGAAUUUUUUUUUAAAAAUGAUGAAUUAUUUACCGUCUUCUUGAAGAUUGUUGUUAAAUAUUGUAUGUGAUUUAUUGAAAUUUUUAUAUUAUUAUUAGGAUUAUAUGUGGGAAAUAUAAGAAAAAAAAAGGUGAGGUUAUUAGGAUUGUAUAUUUGUAUGUGGAUUAUUCGAAUUUUUGUUUGAUUAUUAGGAUUGCAUGGAUAGAUUAUUAGAAAUUUUUUUGUUGUUAAUAUUAUAUGUGAUUGUUGAAAUUUUUAUAUUGUUGUUAGGAUUAAAUACGGUAUAAGGAGCAUUAGCGUAUUAUAUUCGCACUUGUACUUGU
RNAcentral lists this long non-coding RNA (371 nucleotides) under Ananas comosus (pineapple). RNAcentral describes it as "long non-coding RNA (ACOM_LNC000065)". Lineage: Eukaryota; Viridiplantae; Streptophyta; Magnoliopsida; Poales; Bromeliaceae. The record is from RNAcentral.